GAAUUUAAACCUCUUCCAGAGUAUCAAUUGGAGGGCAAGUCUGGUGCCAGCAGCCGCGGUAAUUCCAGCUCCAAUAGCGUAUAUUAAAAUUGUUGCAGUUAAAAAGCUCGUAGUUGAAUUUCUGCUGCAUUACAUAUCUCUUGUUUGAGUUUGUUUUUGUGGCUUAUUUCGGUUUGAUUUUUUCUUUCCGGAUGAUUACUUUGAGAAAAUUAGAGUGCUCAAAGCAGGCUUUUGCCUUGAAUAGUUUAGCAUGGAAUAAUAAAGUAGGACUUUGGUUCUAUUUUGUUGGUUUUAGGUACCAAAGUAAUGGUUAAUAGGAACAGUUGGGGGCAUUCGUAUUUAACUGUCAGGAACAGUUGGGGGCAUUCGUAUUUAACUGUCAGAGGUGAAAUUCUUAGAUUUGUUAAAGACGAACUACUGCGAAGGCAUUUGCCAAGGAUGUUUUCAUUAAUCAAGAACGAAAGUUAGGGGAUCGAAGACGAUCAGAUACCGU
RNAcentral lists this ribosomal RNA (493 nucleotides) under Theileria buffeli. RNAcentral's name for it is "SSU rRNA". It matches the Rfam family "Eukaryotic small subunit ribosomal RNA", at positions 521 to 1018 of the family's 1831-position model. The record is from RNAcentral. Lineage: Eukaryota; Apicomplexa; Aconoidasida; Piroplasmida; Theileriidae.